AUGACGUUCACCGACGAGUACAAGGGCGACAACGCCUUGGAGGCGCACGGCAACACCAAGUUGCACGUCAUCCACACCAACGACAGGAAGCAGAUGGCGAUCACCCUCGCGCAGUACGGGUGCCACCUCAGCCUCCAACGCCACAAGAUCGUCGGCAUUGAUCUCAAGUACGACAACGACCCUGAAGCGACGCAGAAACCCGCCCUCUGCCAGCUCUCCAUCGGCAAGAAUCACCCGGUGCUGCUCUUCCAAAUGAGCGACAGUGAAAGGUGCACCAUCUUCGACAACUUCCUCGCCAACCCCAGGUACACCUUUGCAGGCUUCUCCAUCGACGGCGACAAAACCAGGCUGGAGCGCGUCAAACUGGAGGUCGCCAACUUCAUCGACAUCCAGAAGGAGUGGAGGGUGCCCGAGGCAACCAAGCCGUUGGACUCCCUCGGAGACGUCUCCGGCGUGCUCAUCAACGACUACUACAACAACAUGAAGAAGAAGAUCACCGACGACGAGCACCAGCGCUGGGCCAUCCUGCCUCUGUCCAGGAGGCACAUCGAGUACGCGGCAAAGGACGCCUACGCAGCGAUGGCUCCGGUAGCGGACACAUGCGUCUACGCAGAAGGCCUACAGCUCACCAACACCGAGUGGCGCAGCAUGCUUGGCUGCCUGAUGAUACCCAACAGGGGGUUUCGUGCGCCAUUUCUUCAUCGCCUCACAACCGCAGAUCUAUAG
Molecule: ribosomal RNA, 726 nt
Filed under: Triticum aestivum (bread wheat)
Lineage: Eukaryota; Viridiplantae; Streptophyta; Magnoliopsida; Poales; Poaceae
Description: partial small subunit ribosomal RNA
Source: RNAcentral